Molecule: long non-coding RNA, 600 nt
Organism: Haliaeetus leucocephalus (bald eagle)
Lineage: Eukaryota; Metazoa; Chordata; Aves; Accipitriformes; Accipitridae
Exons: 4
Source: RefSeq, a predicted model, not a curated record
GCGCCGCUGACGGUGAAGCUGCCGGCGGCCAUCUUGGGUUCGGGCUGAGGGCUUUUGGCAGAGCGGGGGCGGCGGCGGCCAUCUUGGGUCCGGGUUUGAAGUCAGCGGGUUCCCGGCGGCGCCCGGGGACCGGAGCGGCUGUUUUCCCCAGGGAGCCAUGUUGGGUUCGGGCAGCCUUGAGCCCUCCCCGCUGGGGCCAUCUUGGGGCCGGGCAGAGGCGCGGCGCCGGGUCCACGGAGUGAUUGGGUGGAGGAAGGCGGUGUAGCCAGUCUCCUGUGAAAUGUUGAAAGGCAAACCUUCUGAAGAAGUCAAGAUGAAAUACCUCUGCUUUUGCCCAAGCAGGGAGGAAUGGGAAGCAGUAUGUGUGGUAUCAUCUCAGUCCAGCUCUGGGGGCUAGAGUUACAGAAAGACUAGAAUAAUGACAAAGUGCUACAAAUAUCCAGAGCACUGUUACACAGAUAUGAAGAUCCAGGACGGCUGCUUCUUUUACCUUCACAUUUUCAGAAGCAGGAGAAGCUGCAGGGUCACAGCAGUGGGAUGAUCAGAUGGCUCUUGUAGUGGGUAGAAGGAACCCAAGCAGUAGCGGAGGAUGUUGCAGCA